CCUUAUUUAUCUCCUGCCUUCUAAAUCAAUUUCACCCGGUUAAUUUGACGCCAUAUCAUCUACCGCCAAAGAGACGCCACAGAUAUUUACAAUAACGAUUCACCUUCCGUCGUGUCGUAUCUCCGUUACCUCCGAAUUCUGGAAUCAAUCGCUUUUUCCUCUUCUCGGUGUAUCAUGUGACUUAUCCGUUCACCGCUGGAACAAUUCCGACCAUAUCCUCCACAUAAAAAAAAAACCCUAAUUGUCGAUUCCGGAUUUCUAUGCAAUAAAAACUCCGAUUAAAUUCUCCAUGGGGACUACCAUUUUUUUAAAGACGCCAUGUUCUUCCCCAACGCCUCGUUUUGGGCUCCCCUGUAUCCGCUAAGAAAGACAUAUAACCUCUACAUUAAUCUACCAAUUCACUAUUUGGAACCGCAAUUCUUCAUCUUGAUGUUGAUCGGUUGGAGUCAAAUUACCAGCCGUCUUUAGAGCCCUACUAUUCUGUCAUCAACAAUUGACGUUCGUCCAUUAAGAUGAAGAUUUGGCAUUGUUCGAAGACCAAUCGGAGCAUAGGUAUAUGAAAAUGAAUACAAGAAAUAACAAUGUAUUUUCAUUGUAUAUUCCCAUAUUGUCUUAUUGUAGUGCAUGCGAUGCUUUGAGAGUUGUGUUUCUGAUACACUACCUACAAGUGGGUGUUGUUUUGUAUUAAUUUCAAAGUGUUAAAUACAAAAAAUAAGAAUGUAUUUCCAUUUAACUGUCAUUUAUAUCAUCUUACUUUCAUUUUCCUCUAUUAAAGUAUUGUACUUUGAAAAAUUCUAUUCAAUUAUAACAUUAUACUUUCAUUCGUUCUUAGAGCAACCUCAUAAAAUACUCAUAUUAUCCUUCACGGGCCGUGCUUAGCACGGGCCAUAAAAUUUUUCUAAUAUAUAUAUCUGGUACUGUUUAGAAGAAGAAAACCUCCACGUAACCCAUUCUCCAAACGACGCAAUUUAAGUCGACUCAAAAUCAAUCGUUCUCAUCAUCGCAUCCAUUUGAACGCUCUUCCUUUUGCAAUUCGAUAUAUCCUUCCAUUCUCCAUCGUUUCAGCUACACAUAUCGUUUCCUCAAAGACCUGGAAAUCGAAUCAAAGAUGACCCUAAUUAUGCGAUUAACGAUAAAUUCAUCAUUUUGUUCACCGGAUUUGCAAAUCGGAAUCAAAGAAAUUUCGCAGGGUUCCCAUGACGACACGUAACCUAUCUUUUAAACGACGCCAUGGACAUCCAAAGUUGUUUCCCACUGCCUCAAUCGUGUUGUAUCGAUUUAUCAGGGAUGAUUUUUACUUUGAGCGCAAGCGUUGAGAUGGGUUUCGAACCGGUAGAACGCAAAGAAGAGACGCGCCUUUUUAUUUGAAACCGUGGUUUGGUUUCAGAUUCUUUCCAUUCUCCCCUAUAAAAGCAGACACAUCUCAACCUUGGGUAUAUUGGUUCCAUAUGCUCUUGUUUGUCACCAACGUUGUAUUCUCUCUUGGUGGCAUGUUCUAUCACUCCUGUUUGCAGAUUGAAGUUUUUGUUUGCCAAUGAUUCGUAAGUACGUAUCAAGAUUAGUUCCCCCUGUAUUCAAUUUCUCCAAGAAUUUAGAACUUGAACUUCUUGGCCUCCGGUAACUGUCAGGGGAUUUCUCAUCCUAUUCGUGGCUCUGCAAAAGGGUUUGUUGAUAAAUUCAACUUGAAUGGAUUACUUCUUUUUAAUUAUCUACUUUUUCAUCCAGUAGAUGAAGGCCGAAUCAUGAUGACAGGCCCCAUAAAACAUUCAAGAAUCAAAGGAAUAGAUUUUAUUCGUCUUCUUUGAAGUUUGACAAUCAUUUCUCUGAUUUCUCUCAUAACUAAACAACUAUGCAACUUGGGUAUAUUUGAUCACUAACAUCAAGAAUUUCUUUCAGAAACAUGUAUUUUAGGAUUUAGGGUUCUUAUUCAGAUUUUUGAUGUGUGUAAAUCUUUCUAAUUUGAA
This is a long non-coding RNA of Lactuca sativa (garden lettuce), 1964 nucleotides long. RefSeq lists it as uncharacterized. Lineage: Eukaryota; Viridiplantae; Streptophyta; Magnoliopsida; Asterales; Asteraceae. The record is from RefSeq and is a predicted model, not a curated record.